GGGUUGUGAGGUUAAGCGAAUAAGCGUACACGGUGGAUGCCUAGGCAAUCAGAGGCGAUGAAGGACGUGCUAAUCUGCGAAAAGCGUCGGUAAGGUGAUAUGAACCGUUACACCCGACGAUAUCCGAAUGGGGAAACCCAGUAUCCAAUGGAUACUAUCAUUAACUGAAUCCAUAGGUUAAUGAGGCGAACCGGGAGAACUGAAACAUCUCAGUACCCCGAGGAAAAGAAAUCAACCGAGAUUCCCCUAGUAGCGGCGAGCGAACGGGGAGCAGCCCAGAGUCUUAAUCAAUAGCAGUGUCAGGAGAACGGUCUGGAAAGUCCGGCAGUAAAGGGUGAUAGCCCCGUAUCUGAAGAUGCUGUUAUUGUGAACUCGACGAGUAGGGCGGGACACGUGUUAUCCUGUCUGAAUAUGGGGGACCAUCCUCCAAGGCUAAAUACUCCUGAUUGACCGAUAGUGAACCAGUACCGUGAGGGAAAGGCGAAAAGAACCCCGGCGAGGGGAGUGAAAAAGAACCUGAAACCGUGUACGUACAAGCAGUAGGAGCCUCUUUAUGGGGUGACUGCGUACCUUUUGUAUAAUGGGUCAGCGACUUAUAUUCUGUAGCAAGGUUAACCGCAUAGGGGAGCCGUAGGGAAACCGAGUCUUAACUGGGCGAAUGAGUUGCAGGGUAUAGACCCGAAACCCGGUGAUCUAUCCAUGGGCAGGUUGAAGGUUGGGUAACACUAACUGGAGGACCGAACCGACUAAUGUUGAAAAAUUAGCGGAUGACUUGUGGAUGGGGGUGAAAGGCCAAUCAAACCGGGAGAUAGCUGGUUCUCCCCGAAAGCUAUUUAGGUAGCGCCUCGUGAACUCAUCUUCGGGGGUAGAGCACUGUUUCGACUAGGGGGUCAUCCCGACUUACCAACUCGAUGCAAACUGCGAAUACCGAAGAAUGUUAUCACGGGAGACACACGGCGGGUGCUAACGUCCGUCGUGAAGAGGGAAACAACCCAGACCGCCAGCUAAGGUCCCAAAGUCAUGGUUAAGUGGGAAACGAAGUGGGAAGGCUCAGACAGCCAGGAUGUUGGCUUAGAAGCAGCCAUCAUUUAAAGAAAGCGUAAUAGCUCACUGGUCGAGUCGGCCCGCGCGGAAGAUGUAACGGGGCUAAACCAUGCACCGAAGCUGCGGCAGCGACACAAAGUGUUGUUGGGUAGGGGAGCGUUCUGUAAGCCUGCGAAGGUGUACUGUGAGGUAUGCUGGAGGUAUCAGAAGUGCGAAUGCUGACAUAAGUAACGAUAAUGCGGGUGAAAAACCCGCACGCCGGAAGACCAAGGGUUCCUGUCCAACGUUAAUCGGGGCAGGGUGAGUCGACCCCUAAGGCGAGGCUGAAAAGCGUAGUCGAUGGGAAACGGGUUAAUAUUCCCGUACUGGUGGUAACUGCGAUGGGGGAACGGAGAAGGCUAGGUUGUCCGGGCGACGGUCGUCCCGGUUCAAGCAGGUAGGCAGAGUGAUUAGGCAAAUCCGGUCACUUAAUGCUGAGAUGUGAUGACGAACCACCAAGGUGGUGAAGCAAUUGAUGCCCCGCUUCCAGGAAAAGCCUCUAAGCUUCAGGUUACCAACAAUCGUACCCCAAACCGACACAGGUGGUCAGGUAGAGAAUACUCAGGCGCUUGAGAGAACUCGGGUGAAGGAACUAGGCAAAAUGGUGCCGUAACUUCGGGAGAAGGCACGCUGGCGGUAGGUAAAGUCCCUUGCGGACGGCGCCCAAGCCAGUCGAAGAUACCAGCUGGCUGCAACUGUUUAUUAAAAACACAGCACUGUGCAAACACGAAAGUGGACGUAUACGGUGUGACGCCUGCCCGGUGCUGGAAGGUUAAUUGAUGGGGUUAGCGCAAGCGAAGCUCCUGAUCGAAGCCCCAGUAAACGGCGGCCGUAACUAUAACGGUCCUAAGGUAGCGAAAUUCCUUGUCGGGUAAGUUCCGACCUGCACGAAUGGCGUAAUGAUGGCCAGGCUGUCUCCACCCGAGACUCAGUGAAAUUGAACUCGCUGUGAAGAUGCAGUGUACCCGCGGCAAGACGGAAAGACCCCGUGAACCUUUACUAUAGCUUGACACUGAACAUUGAGCCUUGAUGUGUAGGAUAGGUGGGAGGCUUUGAAGUGUGGACGCCAGUCUGCAUGGAGCCAACCUUGAAAUACCACCCUUUAACGUUUGAUGUUCUAACCUAGGCCCAUAAACUGGGUCGGGGACCGUGUCUGGUGGGUAGUUUGACUGGGGCGGUCUCCUCCUAAAGAGUAACGGAGGAGCACGAAGGUUGGCUAAGCAUGGUCGGACAUCAUGCGGUUAGUGCAAAGGCAUAAGCCAGCUUGACUGCGAGAGUGACGGCUCGAGCAGGUACGAAAGUAGGUCUUAGUGAUCCGGUGGUUCUGAAUGGAAGGGCCAUCGCUCAACGGAUAAAAGGUACUCCGGGGAUAACAGGCUGAUACCGCCCAAGAGUUCAUAUCGACGGCGGUGUUUGGCACCUCGAUGUCGGCUCAUCACAUCCUGGGGCUGAAGUAGGUCCCAAGGGUAUGGCUGUUCGCCAUUUAAAGUGGUACGCGAGCUGGGUUUAGAACGUCGUGAGACAGUUCGGUCCCUAUCUGCCGUGGGCGUUGGAAGAUUGAGAGGGGUUGCUCCUAGUACGAGAGGACCGGAGUGAACGCACCACUGGUGUUCGGGUUGUCAUGCCAAUGGCAUUGCCCGGUAGCUAAGUGCGGAAGAGAUAACCGCUGAAAGCAUCUAAGCGGGAAACUUGCCUCGAGAUGAGUCUUCCCUGUCGCUUUAAGCGACCUAAAGGAACGUUUAAGACUAAGACGUUGAUAGGCUGGGUGUGUAAGCGUAGUGAUACGUUGAGCUAACCAGUACUAAUGAACCGUGAGGCUUAACCUGACAACACCGAAAGUGUUUUG
This 2929-nucleotide ribosomal RNA is filed under the name Proteus mirabilis. RNAcentral's name for it is "bacterial LSU rRNA". It matches the Rfam family "Bacterial large subunit ribosomal RNA". Lineage: Bacteria; Pseudomonadati; Pseudomonadota; Gammaproteobacteria; Enterobacterales; Morganellaceae. The record is from RNAcentral.